UUACUGUUAGCGCCGCACGGCCCCCAGCGGCGGUGCCGUUGCGACGCCGCUCAGCGGCGGUGCCCUCCGCCUAGGGUAACUACGCUAUGUUGCUAUGGUUACCGGAUUGUUUUGUUUUGUUUACUUUCUUUCGGCUCGAUUUUGACAAUGUCUGGCUAGAAUCUGAAUAAUUACGAAAGAUAAAGACGAAAGAUGUGAUUGAUGACUUGCAAAAAUGUUGUUUGAGUGAAAAGGAAGAAUUUUGGCUAUGAAUUUAAGCAUGAACACUGUUCGUUACGCCGGAGAGUGACAAUUUGUCGUUACGGCUCGGCUCGGCUCCUGGCUCCUGGCUCCUGUUGUACGAGGCUCUGUGGUAUCGGCUCAGGCCGUUAGCGCUGGAAGAAGGAGGAGGAAUGGAGGAGAAAAUAUAGAGGACUGAGAGCCCGUGAA
Amphibalanus amphitrite is the source of this 429-nucleotide long non-coding RNA. RefSeq lists it as uncharacterized. The transcript is spliced from 2 exons. Lineage: Eukaryota; Metazoa; Arthropoda; Thecostraca; Balanomorpha; Balanidae. The record is from RefSeq and is a predicted model, not a curated record.